RNAcentral lists this transfer RNA (67 nucleotides) under Matuta planipes. RNAcentral's name for it is "tRNA-Trp". Lineage: Eukaryota; Metazoa; Arthropoda; Malacostraca; Decapoda; Matutidae. The record is from RNAcentral.
AAGAUUUUAAGUUAUAAAAACUAUAAGCCUUCAAAGCUUGAAAAAAAAGUGAUACUUUUAAAUCUUA